This 253-nucleotide ribosomal RNA is filed under the name uncultured prokaryote. RNAcentral describes it as "partial 16S ribosomal RNA". It matches the Rfam family "Bacterial small subunit ribosomal RNA", at positions 524 to 776 of the family's 1533-position model. The record is from RNAcentral.
UACGGAGGGUGCAAGCGUUGUUCGGAAUUAUUGGGCGUAAAGGGCGCGUAGGUGGUUGGGAUAGUCAGAUGUGAAAUCCUUUGGCUUAACUGAAGAACUGCAUCUGAAACUGCACAACUCGAGUACAGGAGAGGGAAACGGAAUUCCCGGUGUAGAGGUGAAAUGCGUAGAUAUCGGGAGGAACACCAGUGGCGAAGGCGGUUUCCUGGCCUGAUACUGACACUGAGGCGCGAAAGCGUGGGGAGCAAACAGG